This 587-nucleotide ribosomal RNA is filed under the name uncultured bacterium. RNAcentral describes it as "bacterial SSU rRNA". It matches the Rfam family "Bacterial small subunit ribosomal RNA", at positions 338 to 916 of the family's 1533-position model. The record is from RNAcentral.
CCUACGGGAGGCAGCAGUGGGGAAUAUUGGACAAUGGGCGCAAGCCUGAUCCAGCCAUACCGCGUGGGUGAAGAAGGCCUUCGGGUUGUAAAGCCCUUUUGUUGGGAAAGAAAUCCAGCCGGUUAAUACCUGGUUGGGAUGACGGUACCCAAAGAAUAAGCACCGGCUAACUUCGUGCCAGCAGCCGCGGUAAUACGAAGGGUGCAAGCGUUACUCGGAAUUACUGGGCGUAAAGCGUGCGUAGGUGGUUGUUUAAGUCUGUUGUGAAAGCCCUGGGCUCAACCUGGGAACUGCAGUGGAAACUGGACAACUAGAGUGUGGUAGAGGGUAGCGGAAUUCCCGGUGUAGCAGUGAAAUGCGUAGAGAUCGGGAGGAACAUCCAUGGCGAAGGCAGCUACCUGGACCAACACUGACACUGAGGCACGAAAGCGUGGGGAGCAAACAGGAUUAGAUACCCUGGUAGUCCACGCCCUAAACGAUGCGAACUGGAUGUUGGGUGCAAUUUGGCACGCAGUAUCGAAGCUAACGCGUUAAGUUCGCCGCCUGGGGAGUACGGUCGCAAGACUGAAACUCAAAGGAAUUGACGG